GCGCACCAGUCGAGAAACUUCACACUGUGCGAAAGCACGAUGAGGGAAUCCCAAGUGCUUGCACGUAAGUGUAAGCUGUUUCUCUGUCUAAAACGCAGAGAGAGUAAGGGCUGGGUAAGACGGGUGCCAGCCGCCGCGAUAAUACCUGCAGCUCAAGUGGUGACCGUUAUUAUUGGGCCUAAAACGUCCGUAGCCGGUUUAAUAAAUGCCUGGGUAAAUUGUGUAGCUUAACUAUACGAAUUCCGGGUAGACUGUUAAACUUGAGACCGGGAGAAGUUAGAGGUACCCCUGGGGUAGAGGUGAAAUUCUGUAAUCCUAGGGGGACCACCAGUGGCGAAGGCGUCUAACUAGAACGGGUCUGACGGUGAGGGACGAAGCCCUGGGGCGCAAACGGGAUUA
This 399-nucleotide ribosomal RNA is filed under the name uncultured microorganism. Its description in RNAcentral is "bacterial SSU rRNA". It matches the Rfam family "Archaeal small subunit ribosomal RNA", at positions 330 to 731 of the family's 1478-position model. The record is from RNAcentral.